CUAUUCCUGUUCGCUACCCACGCUUUCGUCCCUCAGCGUCAGUAUAUUGUUAGUAAUCUGCCUUCGCAAUCGGUAUUCUGUGUGAUCUCUAUGCAUUUCACCGCUACACCACACAUUCUAACUACUUCACAAUAACUCAAGUCUUUCAGUAUCAAAGGCAAUUCUACAGUUGAGCUGUAGGAUUUCACCUCUGACUUAAAAGACCGCCUACGGACCCUUUAAACCCAAUGAUUCCGGAUAACGCUUGGAUCCUCCGUAUUACCGCGGCUGCUGGCACGGAGUUAGCCGAUCCUUAUUCGUACAGUACCGUCAAAUACCUACACGUAGGUAUAUUUCUUCCUGUAUAAAAGCAGUUUACAACCCAUAGGGCAGUCUUCCUGCACGCGGCAUGGCUGGAUCAGAGUUGCCUCCAUUGUCCAAUAUUCCUCACUGCUGCCUCCCGUAGGAGUCUGGUCCGUGUCUCAGUACCAGUGUGGGGGGUCUCCCUCUCAGGACCCCUACCUAUCGAAGUCUUGGUAAGCCGUUACCUUACCAACUAACUAAUAGGACGCAUGCCCAUCUUCUACCGCCGGAGCUUUCUUCUUUAAAUAAUGCUAUUCAAAGAUCGUAUGGGGUAUUAUUCAACAUUUCUAUUGACUAUCCCCCUGUAGAAGGUAGGUUGCAUACGCGUUACGCACCCGUGCGCCGGUCGUCAGCGGAUUGCAAGCAAUCCCUGUUACCCCUCGACUUGCAUGUGUUAAGCCUGCCGCUAGCGUUCAUCCUGAGCCAGGAUCAAACUCU
RNAcentral lists this ribosomal RNA (780 nucleotides) under uncultured bacterium. RNAcentral describes it as "partial 16S ribosomal RNA". The record is from RNAcentral.